UGGGGAAUUUUGGACAAUGGGCGCAAGCCUGAUCCAGCAAUGCCGCGUGCAGGAUGAAGGCCUUCGGGUUGUAAACUGCUUUUGUACGGAACGAAACGGCGAGCUCUAAUACAGUUUGCUAAUGACGGUACCGUAAGAAUAAGCACCGGCUAACUACGUGCCAGCAGCCGCGGUAAUACGUAGGGUGCAAGCGUUAAUCGGAAUUACUGGGCGUAAAGCGUGCGCAGGCGGUUAUGUAAGACAGAUGUGAAAUCCCCGGGCUUAACCUGGGAACUGCAUUUGUGACUGCAUAGCUAGAGUACGGUAGAGGGGGAUGGAAUUCCGCGUGUAGCAGUGAAAUGCGUAGAUAUGCGGAGGAACACCGAUGGCGAAGGCAAUCCCCUGGACCUGUACUGACGCUCAUGCACGAAAGCGUGGGGAGCAAACAGGAUUAGAUACCCUGGUAGUCCACGCCCUAGACGAUGUCAACUGGUUGUUGGGAAGGUUCCUUCUCAGUAACGUAGCUAACGCGUGAAGUUGACCGCCUGGGGAGUACGGCCGCAAGGUUG
This 548-nucleotide ribosomal RNA is filed under the name uncultured bacterium. RNAcentral's name for it is "bacterial SSU rRNA". It matches the Rfam family "Bacterial small subunit ribosomal RNA", at positions 355 to 896 of the family's 1533-position model. The record is from RNAcentral.